UUCCUAAGAGCCCGUUGGUGUCCGUGUUGCUGCUUCAAAAGGCUUGGUAGAGCUGAUCGUUCGGGGUGUUCUUCGAUCAUUUCCUUCCUCCUCCUCAUCUUUAAAUUUCUUCUUCUCCUUUCACAAGAGCCCGUUGUUCUUCGAUCAUUUCCUUACUUCCUCCUCCUCUUCUUUAAAUUUCUUCUUCUUCUAAGAGCCCGUUGGUGUCCGUGUUGCUGCUUCAAAAGGCUUGGUAGAGCUGAUCGUUCUCAAGACAGGCAAGGAAAAGAAGAGCCCGUUGGUGUCCGUGUGCCUGCUUCAAAAGGCUUGUAGAGCUUAUCUUUCUCAAGUCAGGCAAGGAAAAGAAGGGGAGAAGUGAAGAUGGGGAGAGACCACCUUGUAAUUUACAGGUUGGUUCUAUAAAGCCUCACAUUCACUAUUGUGAUAUGAGAAACAUCACCAAUCACUCCUUUUUGAUGGGCACAAGAAAGUUGUUUCAUAUGUCAAGUUCUUCUCCAACAAUGAGCUUGCUUCUGCAUUUACUGACAGCACACAACAGUUGCGGGAUGUAAAGGAGAAUUUUCCGGUAAGU
Long non-coding RNA from Nelumbo nucifera (sacred lotus), 571 nucleotides. RefSeq lists it as uncharacterized. The record is from RefSeq and is a predicted model, not a curated record. Lineage: Eukaryota; Viridiplantae; Streptophyta; Magnoliopsida; Proteales; Nelumbonaceae.